GCCUGAAUAGCUCAGUUGGUAGAGCAGCUGUUUUGUAAACAGCAGGUCGUCAGUCCGAAUCUGACUUCAGGCU
Molecule: transfer RNA, 73 nt
Filed under: Candidatus Shapirobacteria bacterium
Lineage: Bacteria; Candidatus Shapironibacteriota
Description: tRNA-Thr
Rfam family: tRNA
About the family: Transfer RNA (tRNA) molecules are approximately 80 nucleotides in length. Their secondary structure includes four short double-helical elements and three loops (D, anti-codon, and T loops). Further hydrogen bonds mediate the characteristic L-shaped molecular structure. tRNAs have two regions of fundamental functional importance: the anti-codon, which is responsible for specific mRNA codon recognition, and the 3' end, to which the tRNAs corresponding amino acid is attached (by aminoacyl-tRNA synthetases). tRNAs cope with the degeneracy of the genetic code in two manners: having more than one tRNA (with a specific anti-codon) for a particular amino acid; and 'wobble' base-pairing, i.e. permitting non-standard base-pairing at the 3rd anti-codon position.
Source: RNAcentral